AUCCGGCUGACGAGUCCCAAAUAAGAUGAAACGCGCGUUCUCCAU
This 45-nucleotide non-coding RNA is filed under the name Schistosoma curassoni. The record is from RNAcentral. Lineage: Eukaryota; Metazoa; Platyhelminthes; Trematoda; Strigeidida; Schistosomatidae.